CAGAAGCAACUUGAGGAUCGUGGGCUCUUUGCAUCACACCUUCGUGGUGUGUGCAUUGAUCUCCCCAGCUGGUUUUUGGUUUGUUGAUGUGCACGAUCAGCAUCCAUGUUUUUGAUUUGCUUUCCCCAUUAUUUUUAUUUUCUUUAUUAUUUCAAUAAAUCGCACAAAAGGACAACUCUCUCAUCUGCUUCUUUAUGGAAAAUUUCCACCACAGAAAUUGGCGUCUACGAACAGGAUCCUGCGGCAGGUCGUCUGGACGGUGUGACCAGGGACGAUAGUCCUGAGGACUAGGGUCGCUCAGCCUCCAAACCUCUACAGACAUUCGAGAUGGGAGGACUACUCACCCAUCUGGAUUACCUCUGACGAGAUCCAACGAACACAAAAUCCAACCUCUACUCGGCCCGGUGAGAGAGAAAACGGGUUUGAAAUUGGUUUCAGGUAUUCGGGGUUUACUUGGCUCUGAUCAUUUGGUUUAGGGAAAGUAAGGCAAAUAACAAUUAAUUCUAAAGCAUCCCCUACUACACUAAAACAUAAAAGAAAACAUAAUUAGGACUAGAGAUGAUAAUAUUUCUAAAACGACUAUUUGGCUGAAAACAUCCAAAAUAUAAUAUUAGGGAAAAAAAUUAUGAUUUUAAAAUUUAAUAUUCUGGUAAAAUUAAUUAGAUCAAAGUCUGCCCUGGUGGCCGAGACGGUGGUUGCUAAGGGUUGGCUCGUGGGACCGAGCUUGUUUUUGUCUGUACUGAGGAUACAGACCAGUGUGCAGAUCUGAGCGCAGUCCAAAGGGUGUGGACAAGGAAAUAAAAGACGGCUUCUGAAAUACGGAGCGCGUUUGCAGGGGGAAGUGGUUUUGAGAUACGAGGGACCCGGGUCUUAGAGGGGCCUGACGGUGCGGGACCACUUCCGAGAACCCUGUCGCUGAUCUGAGCGGUUCCCUUUCUACGGAAACGUCCGUGGAAGAGAAAUUUGGAAAAAAGGUUCCGGCCGGAACACAAAAAAGUCUAAGGCAGAAAACCGCCGGGACUCUGAAAGAUGGGUUCGGGGCGAUCUAAGUCUCCACCACCAGACUGCAGCAUUACAAAAGUAAAAAGUAAUUAAAAUUAAAAGUAAAUAUGGUUAUUAGUGCGUUUCAUGUUUCCACGAGUGGGAAACUGAUUAUGGGUUCAAAAGAAGAAUCACUUAGUGUAAAAGACAUAUGCACCUUUAAAAGAAAAGUUAGAUACAAAAGAUGAGAUUUUAAAAAGCAAAACUAUCAAAACUAAAGCCCUAAAAGAAACAAAAGAGUGAUGAAAGUAACAGAAAAAAGGAGAUAACAACUCUGGGGAAGAAUUGUUUGCACUCUGCCACACACACACACACACACACACACACACACACACACACACACACACACACACACACACACACACACACACACACACACACACACACACACA
Long non-coding RNA from Betta splendens (Siamese fighting fish), 1433 nucleotides. RefSeq lists it as uncharacterized. NCBI's taxonomy places the organism in Eukaryota, Metazoa, Chordata, Actinopteri, Anabantiformes, Osphronemidae. The transcript has 2 exons. The record is from RefSeq and is a predicted model, not a curated record.